This 322-nucleotide ribosomal RNA is filed under the name uncultured eukaryote. RNAcentral describes it as "partial 18S ribosomal RNA". It matches the Rfam family "Eukaryotic small subunit ribosomal RNA", at positions 1470 to 1796 of the family's 1831-position model. The record is from RNAcentral.
CCCUUAGAUGUUCUGGGCCGCACGCGCGCUACACUGAUGCAUUCAACGAGCCUAUCCUUGACCGACAGGUCCGGGUAAUCUUUGAAUCUGCAUCGUGACGGGGAUAGAUUAUUGCAAUUAUUAAUCUUCAACGAGGAAUGCCUAGUAAGCGCAAGUCAUCAGCUUGCGUUGAUUACGUCCCUGCCCUUUGUACACACCGCCCGUCGCUCCUACCGAUUGAAUGCUCAGGUGAGCCAUUCGGACUUUCAUCAUGCUGGUUUCCAGUUUUGAUGAAGGAAAGUCUUGCGAACCUUAUCAUUUAGAGGAAGGAGAAGUCGUAACA